RNAcentral lists this ribosomal RNA (253 nucleotides) under uncultured bacterium. RNAcentral describes it as "partial 16S ribosomal RNA". It matches the Rfam family "Bacterial small subunit ribosomal RNA", at positions 524 to 776 of the family's 1533-position model. The record is from RNAcentral.
UACGUAGGUGGCAAGCGUUGUCCGGAUUUAUUGGGGUUAAAGGGUGCGUAGGCGGCCUUGUAAGUCAGUGGUGAAAUACUCCAGCUUAACUGGAGGGGUGCCAAUGAUACUGCAGGGCUUGAGUACAGAUGAGGUAGGCGGAAUUGACGGUGUAGCGGUGAAAUGCAUAGAUAUCGUCAAGAACACCUAUAGCGAAGGCAGCUUACUGGGCUGUAACUGACGCUGAGGCACGAAAGUGUGGGGAUCAAACAGG